This 2589-nucleotide long non-coding RNA is filed under the name Homo sapiens (human). Its description in RNAcentral is "HSALNT0190424". Lineage: Eukaryota; Metazoa; Chordata; Mammalia; Primates; Hominidae. The record is from RNAcentral.
CACUGGGCAAACGGAUGGUAUAGGGGUUGGCCAUAUGCUCAGAGGAAAACAUGAUGAUCUGGCGUGAAGAUGAUGACAGUGAUGAUGACAAUGAUGAUGUUGGAGGUUAUGUGCCUGCUCUACUACUUGCAUACUAGCUGUGUGACCUUGGGCAGAUAUUCAACCUCUCUGAAUCCUCUUUCUCAUCUCUGAGAUCAAGAUAUUCUAUACUUCACCUAAUAACUGUGGAAUGAUGUAUGUGAAAGUGCUUUAUGAACUUUUUUGGAUUAGAUGGAGUACUCUAGUUCCAUCUCAGGAGCCAUGUGCCACUCACUCACAUUUCCCUAUGCCCUUUCCCCCCGUUUCCUUCUCUUUUCCUGCCCUAACCCUUUCCUCCCUCUCUGUAUUCUCUUUGAAGUUGUUUAUUUAUUUCAGCACUUAAGGUAAAGGCAUGCAGUCAUCCAUUAGUGUAGUUUGUCCCCAGAUUUCUUCCCCACUGGGCCUGUCACUAGUUUAAGGCACUGAAAGCCAGGGAGGAGAGAAACAGUUUAAAAAUUCAUUGAAACACAGCUUAAAGCAAGACAACCUACAUGACUGUAACUGUGAAAUAAUCACAGGAAAGAGAGUAACUUCUUUACCUGCUUGAAGGAAUAGUGUUCUCUUUAAGUGAAAGCAAUAUGCAAAAGCAGAUCUCCUAGAGUGACACACACCUGCAAUGCUGGCUUUAGUUUCAGCAGUCAGUAAACAUUUAUCCAACAGUAACACUGGUACCAGGCAGGAAGAUCUAAAAGAUGAAACUAAGUCAUUUGCUUUCAGGAUCCUAUAUUCAGGUAUAAAACUUAGAGAAACAAAUGCAUGUUUAGUAGGAAGAUAUGUUAUUAGCAUAUCAACAUACACAUACACCCCAGUAAUUAUAUAAAUUUAUUGUGUUUGAAUAACAAACCAAUGGGAUACUUUAGAGAGUCUUCUGAGUGCUGUAAACAUUGUUUGACUUCUUAAAGUGCUGGUUUUUUUAGCAUGCAGGUACAUAUUACAAGUAAUAAUUGAAGUCAAAUGCAGAAAAAUGUUUAAAAAUAGGAAAUACAAACUUUGAAAACUUAAUGUAGUUUAAAUCGGCACAACUGAGUCAUUAGGAUUGCUCAGACUGUAUUCCCCAAAUAGCCCCCUUCACAUGUUCUUAAAAAGAAGUUAUAUAAAAUAAUGGCCUUUGCUUUUUUAAGCCUCUAGCUGCACUUACUGUUCAAACAUAAAGGCCCUGCAUUUUUGGAAUAAGUCAUCACAAAUGAGACACGUAUAGCUUAAGGUCACACACACACUUGCCACACACUUUCAGAAUUCUAAAAUCCACUAAAGACCUAGAAGCAAUGUCUCAUCGGAUGUUUCCAACUUAAAGGGCCUGUGAGUUUCAUUCCAUUGUAAAGCAUGAGCCAUAUUACAUGGAUCACUAGUUUUGCUUUUUAGUUUAUCACAUGGCUCGUAUUUCUCUCUGCAUCUUAUGCAUCAGCCUUAGCGACUGAAAUGACCUGGGGCCCAAGAAAGCUCAAGAUGCCACUUGUGGCUUGUCCCGUGGGUCCCGUGGUUUUGUGAGUUCCCUUUAACAGACUAUCUUCCUCUUUUCAGUGAAUAUUUUGGAAAUGUUUCAUUUAGUAAAGUGAAAAUCCUUGUCAGAAUCAGCACAGAUUAAAAUCCGGGCUAAGAGGGCAUAAAGAAAUGCUUUCUGGUCAGGGAAACUGGCUAUAUAAGAGGCUGUGUUCGUGAAAAGAAGAAAUGGUAGAAAACUUCCCUCAAAUGGUAAUGGGAAAUGGGUCAAGUCCUACAGGUAUUGUUUUAAUUCACUGCUCCGUGAGAACCACAAACAGCUGGUUAAAGAUUGAGCCCACCAACACUGUUAGAAAAGCAACUAUGGUUGGAUUUUCUUUCCUGCUCAGCUGGGCUAUUAUUAUGAAAAAUAAGGAGAACCAUUAAUGCAAAGUUUAGCUACCAAGAAACCCUCAGGAGGAGGGAGGGAGGGAAGGAGGGAAGGGGGGGGAGAGAGAGAGAGAGAGAGAGAGAGAGAGAGAGAGAGAGAGCGCGCCAGUGCCAGCGCCCUCCAUGGAUCAAAAUAUAAAGGAUAGAGUAAAAACAGCUACUUCCUAAAAUUUUAGCAUCACCGAGCUUCUAGUGCCAUGUUCUCUUUUCUCCGUGAGUGAAUUGGCCAGUUAUGACACGUUGCUAUCAUUGCCAGUGUUGCCUUUUUCUGGGCCUAGGAAUCUAGUCUGGCUUCUCAUGUUUUUUGCUUCUUGCCUCUUAUUUUCUUUUAGUGUGUAUCUGUUUUAUUGCUUGUGAACAUUUUCAUCAGAGGAGAAAAGAAGGAGAUGGAGAAACCAUUUAUCGAAGACUUACCAUGUACCCUGCAUUAUAUGUACAUGAGAGAUACAGUAACAAUCCUAGAUACAAUCCUAGGAGGAAGUUGGGAACCACAAAUUGACAGAUUGUUUUUCUGCAUAAUAGAAGCAAACCUUCCAUCAUGUUAUGACUCAGCAAGAAGGCCCUUGCCAGAUGCAGGUGCUUUGACCUUGAACUUCUCAGCCUCCAGAACUGUGAGAAAUAAAUUACUUUUCUUUAUAAAUU